RNAcentral lists this transfer RNA (72 nucleotides) under Anguilla anguilla (European eel). RNAcentral describes it as "tRNA-OTHER". The record is from RNAcentral. Lineage: Eukaryota; Metazoa; Chordata; Actinopteri; Anguilliformes; Anguillidae.
UGCACGGUGGUGCAGUGGGUAGCACUGUCGCCUCACGGCUAGAAGGUCGUGGGUUCAAUUCUCCUCGUGUCC